RNAcentral lists this ribosomal RNA (466 nucleotides) under uncultured Flavobacteriaceae bacterium. Its description in RNAcentral is "bacterial SSU rRNA". It matches the Rfam family "Bacterial small subunit ribosomal RNA", at positions 40 to 500 of the family's 1533-position model. The record is from RNAcentral. Lineage: Bacteria; Pseudomonadati; Bacteroidota; Flavobacteriia; Flavobacteriales; Flavobacteriaceae.
CGGCAGGCUUACACAUGCAAGUCGAGGGGUAACAGGGAUUGCUUGCAAUCCGCUGACGACCGGCGAACGGGUGCGUAACGCGUAUGCAACCUACCUUUUACAGGGGAAUAGCCCAAAGAAAUUUGGAAUAAUACCCCAUACGAUCUUUAUUUGGCAUCAAUUAAAGAAGAAAACUCUGGUGGUAAAAGAUGGGCAUGCGUCCUAUUAGUUAGUUGGUAAGGUAACGGCUUACCAAGACUACGAUAGGUAGGGGUCCUGAGAGGGAGAUCCCCCACACUGGUACUGAGACACGGACCAGACUCCUACGGGAGGCAGCAGUGAGGAAUAUUGGACAAUGGAGGCAACUCUGAUCCAGCCAUGCCGCGUGCAGGAAGACUGCCCUAUGGGUUGUAAACUGCUUUUAUACAGGAAGAAUUGCAUCUACGUGUAGUUGCUUGACGGUACUGUACGAAUAAGGAUCGGCUAA